AGGCAGAAAAUGGGGAGUUCAGUGGGACACAGAAGAGCUGGGUGGGCUGGCAGUCUUGACAUGAAAUCUAAGGGGCACCUCUCCUACUCUGACUGGGGAGGCCUGUUGCCUUCAAAAGCAGGAGGGCCACUGGACUAGUUGAAUCUGCUGCCCUUUAAUGUGCUUGUUUUACAUUCUGGAAUUUUCAAGGCUAUUGUUUUCUGCUGGGCAAAGCACUUACAAUUAUGUUAAGUGCUUGUUUCAGAUUGUAUUGGUUGAUUUUAUCUUGUUUUAGUAGUCCUUUUUUGUUUUGUUUUUUGUUUGUUUUGAUAUUCCUUUUUAUGUCACCAACAGUGACAUUACUGAGCAGCUAAUAAA
This is a long non-coding RNA of Podarcis raffonei (Aeolian wall lizard), 357 nucleotides long. RefSeq lists it as uncharacterized. The transcript has 2 exons. The record is from RefSeq and is a predicted model, not a curated record. NCBI's taxonomy places the organism in Eukaryota, Metazoa, Chordata, Lepidosauria, Squamata, Lacertidae.